This 195-nucleotide unclassified non-coding RNA is filed under the name plant metagenome. RNAcentral describes it as "partial contains small subunit ribosomal RNA, internal transcribed spacer 1, and 5.8S ribosomal RNA". The record is from RNAcentral.
UCUCCGUUGGUGAACCAGCGGAGGGAUCAUUACCGAGUUUACAACUCCCAAACCCCUGUGAACAUACCAUUUGUUGCCUCGGCGGUGCCUGCUUCGGCAGCCCGCCAGAGGACCCAAACCCUUGAUUUUAUACAGUAUCUUCUGAAUAAAUGAUUAAAUAAAUCAAAACUUUCAACAACGGUUCUCUUGGUUCUG